GACGAACGCUGGCGGCGUGCUUAACACAUGCAAGUCGAACGGAAAGGCCCUGCUUUUGUGGGGUGCUCGAGUGGCGGACGGGUGAGUAACACGUGGAUAACCUACCUAUAAGACUGGGAUAACUUCGGGAAACCGGAGCUAAUACCGGAUAAUAUUUUGAACCGCAUGGUUCAAAAGUGAAAGACGGUCUUGCUGUCACUUAUAGAUGGAUCCGCGCUGCAUUAGCUAGUUGGUAAGGUAACGGCUUACCAAGGCAACGAUGCAUAGCCGACCUGAGAGGGUGAUCGGCCACACUGGAACUGAGACACGGUCCAGACUCCUACGGGAGGCAGCAGUAGGGAAUCUUCCGCAAUGGGCGAAAGCCUGACGGAGCAACGCCGCGUGAGUGAUGAAGGUCUUCGGAUCGUAAAACUCUGUUAUUAGGGAAGAACAUAUGUGUAAGUAACUGUGCACAUCUUGACGGUACCUAAUCAGAAAGCCACGGCUAACUACGUG
This 495-nucleotide ribosomal RNA is filed under the name uncultured bacterium. Its description in RNAcentral is "partial 16S ribosomal RNA". It matches the Rfam family "Bacterial small subunit ribosomal RNA", at positions 28 to 507 of the family's 1533-position model. The record is from RNAcentral.